RNAcentral lists this transfer RNA (64 nucleotides) under Marmota monax (woodchuck). RNAcentral's name for it is "tRNA.Ala". It matches the Rfam family "tRNA", at positions 5 to 66 of the family's 71-position model. Rfam says of the family: Transfer RNA (tRNA) molecules are approximately 80 nucleotides in length. Their secondary structure includes four short double-helical elements and three loops (D, anti-codon, and T loops). Further hydrogen bonds mediate the characteristic L-shaped molecular structure. tRNAs have two regions of fundamental functional importance: the anti-codon, which is responsible for specific mRNA codon recognition, and the 3' end, to which the tRNAs corresponding amino acid is attached (by aminoacyl-tRNA synthetases). tRNAs cope with the degeneracy of the genetic code in two manners: having more than one tRNA (with a specific anti-codon) for a particular amino acid; and 'wobble' base-pairing, i.e. permitting non-standard base-pairing at the 3rd anti-codon position. Lineage: Eukaryota; Metazoa; Chordata; Mammalia; Rodentia; Sciuridae. The record is from RNAcentral.
GUGUAGUUCAGUGGCAGAGUGCUUGCCUAGCAUGUAUAAGGCCCUGGGUUUAAUCCCCAGCACA